CCGGAGCCUUGCCAAUUCCGUUUGUUUCCCUGUUGUCGCCCGCUUCACCCUGGAUCAUGUUCAAGAAGUUUGAUGAAAAGGAAAGUGUGUCCAACUGCAUCCAGUUGAAAACGUCAGUUAUUAAGGGCAUUAAGAGCCAACUGGUAGAGCAAUUUCCAGGUAUUGAACCAUGGCUUAAUCAAAUCAUGCCUAAGAAAGAUCCUGUCAAAAUAGUCCGAUGCCACGAACAUACAGAAAUCCUUACCAUAAGAAAACUGAAGCUCAGAGAGGGCACUGCCUUCCCCAAGGUCACCCAGCUACAAGUAACAAAGCCUGUGCUUCUAACACCAAAGACCACUUCCCGCUGAUACUGUGCCAGGCUUGUAAGUCUCUCUCUGGGCCUCCAUUCCCUCCUGUAGGAAAUUGGAGGGGUUGGGGUGGCUCCAGUGAGCUCUCCCCUUCUGAAACUCAUACUAAUCUGGGGCAGCCAAGGCUUAGCCCCGCCAGCCUGUGAACCUCUCACAGUGCCCACAGCCAUGCCCUCCUCCGUCCAGGGGCUGACAGGUGGGAGGGGUAGCCCUGCCUCAAGGAGUGGACUUACCUGGCCUCUCUGCUCAGA
RNAcentral lists this small RNA (598 nucleotides) under Pan troglodytes (chimpanzee). RNAcentral describes it as "processed transcript". Lineage: Eukaryota; Metazoa; Chordata; Mammalia; Primates; Hominidae. The record is from RNAcentral.